UAUGUGAUCGUCUCUCGCAUAUCAAUAAGCGGAGGAAAAGAAACUAACAAGGAUUCCCCUAGUAACGGCGAGUGAAGCGGGAAGAGCUCAAAUUUGAAAUCUUAAAGGGUUUCCCUUUACGAAUUGUAGUUUAAAGAAGUGUUUUCUGUUGAGGUUUUGGUAAAAGUUCUUUGGAAUAGGACAUCAUAGAGGGUGAGAAUCCCGUAUUUGACCUUUACUUUCAACUUUGUGAUACACUUUCAAAGAGUCGGAUUGUUUGGGAAUGCAGUCCAAAAUGGGUGGUAAAUUUCAUCUAAAGCUAAAUAUUGGCGAGAGACCGAUAGCGAACAAGUACCGUGAGGGAAAGAUGAAAAGAACUUUGAAAAGAGAGUUAAACAGUACGUGAAAUUGUCAAAAGGGAAGCGUUUGACACCAGUGUUGUUUUUCUGAAAAUCAAUUAAAGAACUGUUUAUGCUAAGCUGUUUAGACUUUAUCAGCUAUCUGUUUAGUUUUGAGCUUUUCUUUAAUGCACUUUUCAGUUAACAAGUCAACAUCGAAUUUCUUUUGCUGUAAAAAAGCUUGAGGAAGGUGGCUUGAGAUUCGUCUUAAGUGUUUAUAGCCUCUUGCCUAUGCAGUCGGAGAGAUUGAGGUCUGCAGCGUAGAUCCUUCGGGGCUAAAUGCAUUUGUGCUAAGUUAUAGCAUUUUAUAGACAACUUGUUGACUAUGAUUUGUCUUGUAGCUUACUCGCUUAUGUUAUUUUACCUACGCUUAGGAUGUUGAGCGCAUGUCUCUCUCU
RNAcentral lists this ribosomal RNA (775 nucleotides) under uncultured Neocallimastigales. RNAcentral describes it as "partial large subunit ribosomal RNA". It matches the Rfam family "Eukaryotic large subunit ribosomal RNA", at positions 24 to 616 of the family's 3401-position model. Lineage: Eukaryota; Fungi; Neocallimastigomycota; Neocallimastigomycetes; Neocallimastigales. The record is from RNAcentral.